This 521-nucleotide ribosomal RNA is filed under the name Paenibacillus barengoltzii. RNAcentral describes it as "bacterial SSU rRNA". It matches the Rfam family "Bacterial small subunit ribosomal RNA", at positions 35 to 535 of the family's 1533-position model. Lineage: Bacteria; Bacillati; Bacillota; Bacilli; Caryophanales; Paenibacillaceae. The record is from RNAcentral.
GCUGGCGGCGUGCCUAAUACAUGCAAGUCGAGCGGAGUUUAUCGGGAGCUUGCUCCUGAUGAACUUAGCGGCGGACGGGUGAGUAACACGUAGGCAACCUGCCCGUAAGACUGGGAUAACUACCGGAAACGGUAGCUAAUACCGGAUACGCAAGUCUCUCGCAUGAGGGGCUUGGGAAAGGCGGAGCAAUCUGUCACUUACGGAUGGGCCUGCGGCGCAUUAGCUAGUUGGUGGGGUAACGGCUCACCAAGGCGACGAUGCGUAGCCGACCUGAGAGGGUGAACGGCCACACUGGGACUGAGACACGGCCCAGACUCCUACGGGAGGCAGCAGUAGGGAAUCUUCCGCAAUGGACGAAAGUCUGACGGAGCAACGCCGCGUGAGUGAUGAAGGUUUUCGGAUCGUAAAGCUCUGUUGCCAGGGAAGAACGUCCGUUAGAGUAACUGCUAACGGAGUGACGGUACCUGAGAAGAAAGCCCCGGCUAACUACGUGCCAGCAGCCGCGGUAAUACGUAGGGGGC